Non-coding RNA from Picea glauca (white spruce), 122 nucleotides. Lineage: Eukaryota; Viridiplantae; Streptophyta; Pinopsida; Pinales; Pinaceae. The record is from Rfam.
AUGUGAUGUAAUGCCUACAAUGUUAAUGCAUUGGAUCCCAUUAGAACUCCACAGGUAAGCACGCUUGGGAUAGAGUAGUACUAGGAUGGGUGACCUCCCGGGAAGUCCUAGUGUUUUACAUG